GCGGUCUUCGGAGAAGGUCGCCGCCGGCACGUGGUCCCCACGUGCCGCCACUGUAGGUAGCGCGUGGAGGCGCGUGUUGUAGGGUUUUAGAUGUCAUUUUAAUCCCCUAUACCAGUUAAUGAUUGUAGAAUGUAAUGUGUGAAGUUUGGUUGACAUCGGAGGAAUUUCGGAUUGAGAUUAAAUUGUAUAAUUAACGGAUUACGUGAAUUCGAACGUUGGAAUUAUUUCGAAUUCACUCCAGAAUUUAAUUAUCGAUGAUUGAAUAUUGAUGGAGUUAAGAAUGUGGUAGAAUGUUGAGAAGUCG
RNAcentral lists this long non-coding RNA (304 nucleotides) under Rosa chinensis. Its description in RNAcentral is "sRNA RchiOBHm_Chr2g0126971". Lineage: Eukaryota; Viridiplantae; Streptophyta; Magnoliopsida; Rosales; Rosaceae. The record is from RNAcentral.